This 494-nucleotide ribosomal RNA is filed under the name uncultured bacterium. RNAcentral describes it as "partial 16S ribosomal RNA". It matches the Rfam family "Bacterial small subunit ribosomal RNA", at positions 28 to 507 of the family's 1533-position model. The record is from RNAcentral.
GACGAACGCUGGCGGCGUGCUUAACACAUGCAAGUCGAACGGAAAGGCCUGCUUUCCCUUGUGGAUUGCGGGUGCUCGAGUGGCGAACGGGUGAGUAACACGUGAGUGAUCUGCCCCCAACUUGGGUAUAAGCCUGGGAAACUGGGUCUAAUUCCCGAUAGGACUGCAGGGUGGUGCCUGUGGUGGAAAACGAUUUUCUAGUGGUUGGGGAUGAGCUCGCGGCCUAUCAGCUUGUUGGUGGGGUAAUGGCCUACCAAGGCGGCGACGGGUAGCCGGCCUGAGAGGGUGGACGGCCACAUUGGGACUGAGAUACGGCCCAGACUCCUACGGGAGGCAGCAGUGGGGAAUAUUGCACAAUGGGCGGAAGCCUGAUGCAGCGACGCCGCGUGGGGGAUGACGGCCUUCGGGUUGUAAACUCCUUUCGAUCGCGAGGAAGCCGCCUGGUUGGAAGGGUGGUGACGGUAGUGGUAGAAGAAGCACCGGCUAACUACGUG